GACGGAGGGGACGAGCGUUGUCCGGAUUUAUUGGGCGUAAAGAGCGCGUAGGCGGCUUGGUAAGUCGGAUGUGAAACCACGAGGCUCAACCUCGUGACAGCAUUCGAAACUGCCCGGCUAGAGGUAGGUAGGGGAGAUCGGAAUUCCUGGUGUAGCGGUGAAAUGCGCAGAUAUCAGGAGGAACACCGGUGGCGAAGGCGGAUCUCUGGGCCUUACCUGACGCUGAGGCGCGAAAGCUAGGGGAGCGAACAGG
RNAcentral lists this ribosomal RNA (253 nucleotides) under uncultured bacterium. Its description in RNAcentral is "partial 16S ribosomal RNA". It matches the Rfam family "Bacterial small subunit ribosomal RNA", at positions 524 to 776 of the family's 1533-position model. The record is from RNAcentral.